This 576-nucleotide long non-coding RNA is filed under the name Setaria viridis. RNAcentral describes it as "long non-coding RNA (SVIR_LNC010061)". The record is from RNAcentral. Lineage: Eukaryota; Viridiplantae; Streptophyta; Magnoliopsida; Poales; Poaceae.
AAUCACGCACGCAUACGUUUCGGUCUUUCUUGGCGAAGAGGCCGCCCAAGUUGAACCCGCCACCGCUGCCGCCGUCGCCGCUGCUGCUGGCAGGUUUCUUGCCGCCGGACGUGGUGACGUUUCAGUCUUUCUUGGCGAAGAGGCCGCCCAAGUUGAACCCGCCACCGCUGCCGCCGUCGUCGCUGCUGCUGGCAGGUUUCUUGCCGCCGGACGUGGUGCCGCCCCGCGGCUUGGCGCGCGAGGCGGCGGCCGGCGCGCCGUCGACCUUGUUGAGGAGCGGGUCCGUCUCGACGAGCUGGUCCUUCUUGAAGAUGGAGCUGAAGAUGAAGUCGACCAGGCUCUUCUCCUCCUUGGCCGGCGCCGGGCUGCCCCUGGUGGCGGCCGGCACGGCCAGCACAGACCGCCGCGGCCGCCUCCUGGCCGCGGCCGCCGAAGACGAUGCCGGCGCCACGGCCGCCACGGUGCUGCCAAAGCCCACCGACGCCAUUGUAGCUAGCUUCUUGCAGCAACGAAUUGGGAAAGAAAUCGGAAAUGUAUGAUGCGCCGCAGCUCUGCGGCUUCUCCGAUCGAUUUCGU